This 253-nucleotide ribosomal RNA is filed under the name uncultured bacterium. RNAcentral describes it as "partial 16S ribosomal RNA". It matches the Rfam family "Bacterial small subunit ribosomal RNA", at positions 524 to 776 of the family's 1533-position model. The record is from RNAcentral.
UACGUAGGGUGCGAGCGUUAAUCGGAAUUACUGGGCGUAAAGUGUGCGCAGGCGGCGUCGCAAGUCGAGUGUGAAAUCCCCGGGCUUAACUUGGGAAUUGCGCUCGAAACUACGGUGCUGGAGUGUGGCAGAGGAAGGUGGAAUUCCACGUGUAGCGGUGAAAUGCGUAGAUAUGUGGAGGAAUACCAGAGGCGAAGGCGGCACCCUGGGUCUGACCUGACACUGAUCCGCGACAGCAUGGGGAGCGAACGGG